AUACGUAGGUGGCAAGCGUUGUCCGGAUUUAUUGGGCGUAAAGCGAGCGCAGGCGGUCUCUUAAGUCUGAUGUGAAAGCCCCCGGCUCAACCGGGGAGGGACAUUGGAAACUGGGAGACUCGAGUGCAGAAGAGGAGAGUGGAAUUCCAUGUGUAGCGGUGAAAUGCGUAGAUAUAUGGAGGAACACCAGUGGCGAAGGCGGCUCGCUGGUCUGUAACUGACGCUGAGGCUCGAAAGCGUGGGGAGCAAACAGGAUUAGAUGCCCUGGUAGUCCACGCCGUAAACGAUGAGUGCUAAGUGUUGGAGGGUUUCCGCCCUUCAGUGCUGCAGCUAACGCAUUAAGCGCUCCGCCUGGGGAGUACGGCCGCAAGGCUGAAACUCAAAUGAAUUGACGGGG
This 397-nucleotide ribosomal RNA is filed under the name uncultured bacterium. Its description in RNAcentral is "partial 16S ribosomal RNA". It matches the Rfam family "Bacterial small subunit ribosomal RNA", at positions 523 to 918 of the family's 1533-position model. The record is from RNAcentral.